ACCAAUCAACUACCCUAAUUGAUCACAUUUGAGAAGUCUAUAUUUUAAUAAUUUGCAGUUUCAUAAUACAUUUAUAUAUUUCAAAAAUAUAACCAACAUAUUAGUUAGAAAUAUUAUAUUUGUUACUAUUGAUAUGAUUUGACAAUCAAAACUUUACUGGGUUAAAUAAUAUUUACUUAGCUAAGAACUCACAAAGAUGAAUGACGGGAAACAACCUUUACCUGGAAUUUACUGCUUUUGGUAUUCAAAUAAGAUAUGUUUCAAGUAUUAACUGUGGUCUUCUCUUCCCUCGCAGGCUUGGAAAAGCACCAGAUAGGAAGGGAAGAAGCUCAGGAUCUGGGUUUAGGUUCUAACUCUGAACUUACCAUCUAUAUGAUGUCAGCUAAGUAGACCAUUUUGUGAUUCUGAGCUUCAGUUUUUCUCAUCCACUAAAUGGGGAAAAAAAACUGCUUUACAGAGUUCUAAGGAUUAAAUGGGACAUCUUCUAUGAAAAUGCCUGGUACAAGGGAGGCCCUCAAGAAGGUCUGUCAUCCCUUACACUGAAUCAGGACUGGCGUAGUGUGACCUGUGGAAUACAGUAGAAGUAAAGAUGUG
RNAcentral lists this long non-coding RNA (594 nucleotides) under Homo sapiens (human). RNAcentral's name for it is "PREDICTED lncRNA (TCONS_00210691)". Lineage: Eukaryota; Metazoa; Chordata; Mammalia; Primates; Hominidae. The record is from RNAcentral.